Molecule: ribosomal RNA, 547 nt
Filed under: uncultured Planctomycetota bacterium
Lineage: Bacteria; Pseudomonadati; Planctomycetota
Description: bacterial SSU rRNA
Rfam family: Bacterial small subunit ribosomal RNA
Source: RNAcentral
UUGGCAAUGGACGAAAGUCUGACCAAGCGACGCCGCGUGCGGGAUGAAGGCCUUCGGGUUGUAAACCGCUGUCGUAGGGAAUCAAAUGUAUUGGGGUUCUCCCCUUUACUUGAGAGAUCCUAGGAGGAAGGAGAGGCUAAGCUCGUGCCAGCAGCCGCGGUAAGACGAGCUCUCCAAACGUUAUUCGGUAUCACUGGGCUUAAAGAGUUCGUAGGCGGCUUUGUAGGUGGGGUGUGAAAGCCCUCGGCUUAACCGAGGAACUGCGCCCCAAACCACAGGGCUUGAGGGAGAUAGGGGUAAGCGGAACAGAUGGUGGAGCGGUGAAAUGCAUUGAUAUCAUCUGGGACACCGGUGGCGAAGGCGGCUUACUGGAUCUUUUCUGACGCUGAGGAACGAAAGCUAGGGUAGCGAACGGGAUUAGAUACCCCGGUAGUCCUAGCCGUAAACGAUGAGCACUAGUCUGAGGAUCUGUCACAGAUUCUCGGACGUAGCGAAAGUGUUAAGUGCUCCGCCUGGGGAGUAUGGUCGCAAGGCUGAAACUCAAAGG